Molecule: ribosomal RNA, 456 nt
Filed under: uncultured bacterium
Lineage: Bacteria
Description: bacterial SSU rRNA
Rfam family: Bacterial small subunit ribosomal RNA
Source: RNAcentral
UACGGAAGGCAGCAGUGGGGAAUAUUGCACAAUGGGCGAAAGCCUGAUGCAGCUAUGCCGCGUGUAUGAAGAAGGCCUUAGGGUUGUAAAGUACUUUCAUCGGGGAGGAAAAAACAAAACUAAUAAUUUUAUUUCUUGACGUUACCCGAAAAAGAAGCACCGGCUAACUCCGUGCCAGCAGCCGCGGUAAUACGGAGGGUGCUAGCGUUAAUCAGAAUUACUGGGCGUAAAGAGCACGUAGGUGGUUUUUUUAAGUCAGAUGUGGAAUCCCUGGGCUUAACCUAGGAACUGCAUUUUGAAACUGAAAUACUAGAGUAUCGUAGAGGGAGGUAGAAUUCUAGGUGUAGCGGUGAAAUGCGUAGAUAUCUGGAGGAAUACCUGUGGCGAAAGCGGCCUCCUAAACGAAUACUGACACUGAGGUGCGAAAGCGUGGGGAGCAAACAGGGAUUAGAUACC